This 1586-nucleotide ribosomal RNA is filed under the name Caiman latirostris (Broad-snouted caiman). RNAcentral describes it as "16S ribosomal RNA". It matches the Rfam family "Bacterial large subunit ribosomal RNA". The record is from RNAcentral. Lineage: Eukaryota; Metazoa; Chordata; Crocodylia; Alligatoridae.
GCCCACAUCUAGCCCCACCCACACUCUACACCCGACCAAAACAAAACCAAAACAUUUACAAUACCUAGUAUCGGCGAAAGAAAGGCAAAUAGGCGCAACAGAGGAAGUACCGCAAGGGAAAGCUGAAAUAAUCAUUGAAAUAAACAAAAGCACAACACAGCAAAGACAAACCCUUCUACCUUUCGCAUUAUGGUUUAGCAAACCUAAAAUGGCAAAAAGAAUUCAAGUCACACCCCCCCGAAACUGAGUGAGCUACUAAUCAGCAGCCAAACCUGGGCCCACCCCCCUCUGUGGCAAAAGAGCGGGAAGACUGUUUAGUAGAGGUGAAAAGCCAACCGAACCCAGUGAUAGCUGGCUGCUUGGGAAACGAAUAUUAGUUCUACUGAAAAUUCUUCUAACCCCCCAUAACAAAGGACAAGGAAAAACUUUCAAGUUACUUAAUAGAGGUACAGCUCUAUUAACACAGGACUCAACCUUCACUUAAGGGUAACCUAUCUUUACUAUUUACCGUAGACUUUAAAGCAGCCACCACAAAAAAGCGUCAAAGCUUACUUCUUAAAGAUCCCAACAACACCUCGAACCCUUCAUUAUCCACCAAGCCCCUCUAUAACAUUAGAAAAGACAAUGCUAAAAUGAGUAAUAAGAAAACGACUUUCUCUUUGGCGUCAACUUACAUCCUGCCUGACACCCUACAGAUUAUUAACAGCCACCCCCCUAUAACUACCACAAGAAUAAAAGAAGACUCUUAUCUGUUAACCCAACACAGGAGCGCCACAAGAAAGGCUAAACCUUGCAAAAGGAACUCGGCAAACAGAGAUUCCGACUGUUUACCAAAAACAUAGCCCUCCAGCCAAUUCAGUAUUGAGGGUGAUACCUGCCCAAUGACUACAGGUUGAAUGGCCGCGGUAUUUACAACCGUGCAAAGGUAGCGUAAUCACUUGUUCUCUAAAUAAGGACCAGUAUGAAUGGUUAAACGAGAAUCUAACUGUCUCCUGCAAACAGCCAAUGAAAUUGAUCUUCCUGUGCAAAAGCAGGAAUAACAUCACCAGACGAAAAGACCCUGUGAAACUUAAACCACCUAAGUUAAACCAACAAUACAACUGUAACCCCUACAACCGUUUACACCUAACUUAGCGUUUUCGGUUGGGGUGACCUUAAAACAAAAAAAAACUUUUAAGACAACUAUAACUAAGACCAAAUUAUUAACCAAGACCCACACCUCAAAGUACUUAAAUGUAAUUAGAUCCGACAACGUCGAUCAACGAACAAAGCUACUCCAGGGAUAACAGCGCAAUCCCCCUCAAGAGCCCAUAUCGACAGGGGGGUUUACGACCUCGAUGUUGGAUCAGGACAUCCUAAUGGUGUAACCGCUAUUAAUGGUUCGUUUGUUCAACGAUUAAAGUCCUACGCGAUCUGAGUUCAGACCGGAGCAAUCCAGGUCGGUUUCUAUCUAUGAUUACAUCUCUUCCUAGUACGAAAGGGCCGGGAGAGAAAGGCCCAUACCACCAAAGCACGCCUUACCUGCAACUUAGUGAAAACAACUAAACUAACAACCAGGACAACCACUCCCCCCAAAACAAGAGCAU